GUUGGUGAACCAGCGGAGGGAUCAUUACAGAGUUGCAAAACUCCCAACCCUUUGUGAACGAACCUACCAGUUGCCUCGGCGGCGAGCCUUUCAGGCGGACCGCCGGAGGAAUACAAACUCUUUGCAUUUUAACAUCUCUGAUUACUUAUUCAAUAAGUUAAAACUUUCAACAACGGAUCUCUUGGUUCUG
RNAcentral lists this unclassified non-coding RNA (190 nucleotides) under rhizosphere metagenome. RNAcentral describes it as "partial ribosomal RNA internal transcribed spacer region". The record is from RNAcentral.